This is a long non-coding RNA of Callithrix jacchus (white-tufted-ear marmoset), 2016 nucleotides long. RefSeq lists it as uncharacterized. Lineage: Eukaryota; Metazoa; Chordata; Mammalia; Primates; Cebidae. The record is from RefSeq and is a predicted model, not a curated record.
CCUCGGGGAAGCGCCCCUCACCGGGGCCUCGCGGCAGGGCCGGUGCCCUGUUGCCGCCCUCGCGUGGCGCGGUCUCGCGUCCGUGACCCGGGCAGCAGAAGGGGGCCUCUUACCUAAUUGCACACACGCGGACACCAGUUUGCGGCAGUUGGUCUCCAUUCCCCGUUAUCUGCAAAACAGAAAAGAAGGAAGGCUGUGAGAAGAGGCGGCCGUCGAGUGCGCAGGGCUCAGAUGAGACUACCCGUAGGCUGUAAGGUGCCUACUUUGUGCUAGGCCGCAGGCGUGCUUUUCCGACCUGACAGCCUCUGGCUGUCCAGCAGCGUCUCCACCCUAGCCUCAGGCCCAGAACAUCUAGAUGUUUAUCAAGAGGGGAUCUCCCUCCAGAGUUGCAGCAAAAGGCCCCAGAGGCAAGCCGGGAGAGGUGAGUCUCGAGAGGCUCCACCGGGUGGGUAGAAGAACCGCGGUUGCUUUAAAGACAGAAGAAAAGAAGGUCCAGGGCUCCCUAGGCCCCUUCAUUCUCAGCGCCUGUCUCUCUCCACGCUAACCAGGAGGUUAAUAGGCGCUCGUAGCAGAACGGCCUCGCCUUUCAGCUGGUGGCGAGGAUAGGCAAUCUCACGGAAAAGUUGGAAGAGAAUGAGAAAACCAAAGACCGGAAGAUUCAGGGACGCGCGGAGAGACACCGAGAGAGGGAAGAGAGCUGCGCUGGAAAGACGCGCAGUUAGGCGCGUGCAACUCCCUCUCCUCUUUCAGGUUUCAGUGGUUUGCACUGAGAGGAAAGGGCUCGGGAAGCUCACUUUCCCUUCGCCCCCUUCUGUCUGGAGUCUCGCCCUCUGGGGGCUGGUUAACCCCAGUCCCGGCCGCUGCAGACACUGCGCUGAGCUUUUGGGUCCUCGCCUCGCCCAGCGCCAGUGCAGCUGAAGUGAGCAGCUGGUGGGAAAUGCAAAUGGCUCCUGGAGAAAUAGAAGAUACAGAAUGAUUCUCAUUCCCUCCUCGAGUGUGUGGAAGGAGCUGGACAUACGUUUCACGCUCCUAAUCCUUCUUUUACAUUUUUAGUCAUACUCCUAUUAAACAACUAAUUAAUGCCCAGAAUCACCAGGGAAUACAUUAGGCAUGCAAUCGUAGAAGCAGGGUGCUGGGGGGCUGCAAACCACCGAUCUGAUUUAAGACGUGGAUUUCGGGUUUUUCCCUUGUCAAAGCAGUAAUGGAAGAUUGGGCCGUGGCGACUGUAUUUAGAUUCCGAUUACUUCAAAUUAGAAGGGGGUGGAGGGAGCGUCCAAGCAAAGCACGCAAUUCUCUGCCCUGCAGAUGUAAACAAGAUUGUAGCAUCAAAGGUAAAAGCUCCUUUAGGGCUAGAUCGCCUGGACUGGGAACCUGGGGAGGGGAGACACUAACCUUACCUAUCUGUGAAUUUCAAGGAUGUUACACUUUUACAUAAAUAACUCCAGUGUGAUCCCCUGGUAAUCCCUGGGAGUAAUCCCACCAUUUUAGAAUAUUAAAAUUUUUCUCCCCAAGCGUGUAUCUUUUUUAUUUCCUCAAGAUUCUGAGCUAUGUCUAAAUAUAAUAGUCGUCCAAGUAAACUAGAGCAUUGGACCAUUGCCUUCACCCUUUCCUACGGACAUUUCGAUGAUCUGAUUUUAAUGUGUGGGGGGCACAGGGAAUUAAAUAUAGCCCAUAAAACUAAGCUUAGGAGAAAAAGUGCUGGCUAAGUGGGUUCAGAGAAUUUUUAGUGAGCAUCUCAGUUACACUCCUCCCCAUAGUAUGUUGAAGCAAGUGACAGAACUGUUAGAAUGGGAAUCAAAUUGGAAAGCUCCGGAGGACAACAAUUUUGUGAUCAAAUGGGGGCAAAACCGUGGACAAAUAUGGGGUGACCUCCACCAACUCUCUCUCACCCAAGAGUCAGGAUUUGGGAAAGGUACAGUAUUAUUUCAGAGCCCGCUGUGACGGGCUGUGUGCUACCAUUUACCUUCUUCACUUUGGAUUAUGAUCUCAACCCUGGCAAGCAAUUUCCCCAGCUUC